GCGCACCAGUCGCGAAUACUUUACAAUGUGCGAAAGCACGAUAAGGGAACUCUGAGUGCCUCCUAAGGAGGCUGUUCAGGUGUCCAAAAAGCACCUGAAGGAAGGGCUGGGUAAGACCGGUGCCAGCCGCCGCGGUAACACCGGCAGCCCAAGUGGUAGCCACGUUUAUUGGGUCUAAAGCGUCCGUAGCCGGCUGGGUAAGUUCCUUGGGAAAUUUGGCUGCUUAACAGUCAAGCUUUCAGGGAAUACUGCCCGGCUUGGGACCGGGAGAGGUCAGAGGUACUCCAGGGGUAGGGGUGAAAUCCAUUAAUCCUUGGGGGACCACCGGUAGCGAAAGCGUCUGACCAGACCGGGUCCGACGGUGAGGGACGAAGGCUAGGGGCGCGAACCGGAUUAGAUACCCCUGUAGU
Molecule: ribosomal RNA, 410 nt
Filed under: uncultured microorganism
Description: bacterial SSU rRNA
Rfam family: Archaeal small subunit ribosomal RNA
Source: RNAcentral